This 352-nucleotide ribosomal RNA is filed under the name uncultured bacterium. Its description in RNAcentral is "partial 16S ribosomal RNA". It matches the Rfam family "Bacterial small subunit ribosomal RNA", at positions 527 to 881 of the family's 1533-position model. The record is from RNAcentral.
GNAGGGAGCAAGCGUNGUCCGGAUNNACUGGGUGUANAGGGUGCGUAGGNGGUNAAUNAAGNCAGCGGUGAAAGNNUGUGGCUCAACCAUAAAAUNGCCGUCGAAACUGGUUGACUNGAGUAUAUUUGAGGUAGGCGGAAUGCNUGGUGUAGCGGUGAAAUGCAUAGAUAUCACGCAGAACUCCGAUUGCGAAGGCAGCUUACUAAACUAUAACUGACACUGAAGCACGAAAGCGUGGGGAUCAAACAGGAUUAGAUACCCUGGUAGUCCACGCAGUAAACGAUGAUUACUAGCUGUUUGCGAUACACAGUAANCGGCACAGCGAAUGCGUUAANUAAUCCACCUGGNGAGU